GAUGAACGCUGGCGGCGUGCCUAAUACAUGCAAGUCGAGCGAACAGACGAGGAGCUUGCUCCUCUGACGUUAGCGGCGGACGGGUGAGUAACACGUGGAUAACCUACCUAUAAGACUGGGAUAACUUCGGGAAACCGGAGCUAAUACCGGAUAAUAUAUUGAACCGCAUGGUUCAAUAGUGAAAGACGGUUUUGCUGUCACUUAUAGCUGGAUCCGCGCCGCAUUAGCUAGUUGGUAAGGUAACGGCUUACCAAGGCGACGAUGCGUAGCCGACCUGAGAGGGUGAUCGGCCACACGGGAACUGAGACACGGUCCAGACUCCUACGGGAGGCAGCAGUAGGGAAUCGUCCGCAAUGGGCGAAAGCCUGACGGAGCAACGCCGCGUGAGUGAUGAAGGUCUUCGGAUCGUAAAACUCUGUUAUUAGGGAAGAACAAAUGUGUAAGUAACUAUGCACGUCUUGACGGUACCUAAUCAGAAAGCCACGGCUAACUACGUG
Molecule: ribosomal RNA, 497 nt
Filed under: uncultured bacterium
Lineage: Bacteria
Description: partial 16S ribosomal RNA
Rfam family: Bacterial small subunit ribosomal RNA
Source: RNAcentral